UGGGUUUGACAUGGAUCGGGAGUGCUCAGAGAUGGGUGUGCCUCUUUUGGGGUCGGUUCACAGGUGGUGCAUGGCUGUCGUCAGCUCGUGUCGUGAGAUGUUGGGUUAAGUCCCGCAACGAGCGCAACCCUUGUUCACUGUUGCCAGCACGUUAUGGUGGGGACUCAGUGGAGACCGCCGGGGUCAACUCGGAGGAAGGUGGGGAUGACGUCAAGUCAUCAUGCCCCUUAU
This 231-nucleotide ribosomal RNA is filed under the name uncultured bacterium. RNAcentral's name for it is "partial 16S ribosomal RNA". It matches the Rfam family "Bacterial small subunit ribosomal RNA", at positions 976 to 1205 of the family's 1533-position model. The record is from RNAcentral.